Molecule: ribosomal RNA, 468 nt
Filed under: Babesia capreoli
Lineage: Eukaryota; Apicomplexa; Aconoidasida; Piroplasmida; Babesiidae
Description: SSU rRNA
Rfam family: Eukaryotic small subunit ribosomal RNA
Source: RNAcentral
UGGAAUGAUGGUGACCUAAACCCUCACCAGAGUAACAAUUGGAGGGCAAGUCUGGUGCCAGCAGCCGCGGUAAUUCCAGCUCCAAUAGCGUAUAUUAAACUUGUUGCAGUUAAAAAGCUCGUAGUUGAAUUUUUGCGUGGUGUUAAUAUUGACUGAUGUCGAGAUUGCACUUCGCUUUUGGGAUUUUUCCCUUUUUACUUUGAGAAAAUUAGAGUGUUUCAAGCAGACUUUUGUCUUGAAUACUUCAGCAUGGAAUAAUAGAGUAGGACUUUGGUUCUAUUUUGUUGGUUUGUGAACCUUAGUAAUGGUUAAUAGGAACGGUUGGGGGCAUUCGUAUUUAACUGUCAGAGGUGAAAUUCUUAGAUUUGUUAAAGACGAACUACUGCGAAAGCAUUUGCCAAGGACGUUUUCAUUAAUCAAGAACGAAAGUUAGGGGAUCGAAGACGAUCAGAUACCGUCGUAGUCCUA